UGGUGGAGCGAUUUGUCUGGUUAAUUCCGAUAACGAACGAGACUCUGGCCUAUUAAAUAGUUCGCCGAUUCCGACCUGUCAGCGUUAACUUCUUAGAGGGACAAGUGGCUUUUAGCCACGCGAGAUUGAGCAAUAACA
Molecule: ribosomal RNA, 138 nt
Filed under: uncultured eukaryote
Lineage: Eukaryota
Description: partial 18S ribosomal RNA
Rfam family: Eukaryotic small subunit ribosomal RNA
Source: RNAcentral